AGUGGACGCAUCACUGGUGUUCGGGUUGUCAUGCCAAUGGCACUGCCCGGUAGCUAAAUGCGGAAGAGAUAAGUGCUGAAAGCAUCUAAGCACGAAACUUGCCCCGAGAUGAGUUCUCCCUGAGACUUUAAGUCUCCUGAAGGAACGUUAAAGACGAUGACGUUGAUAGGCCGGGUGUGUAAGCGCAGCGAUGCGUUGAGCUAACCGGUACUAAUGAACCGUGAGGCUUAACCUUAC
Molecule: ribosomal RNA, 237 nt
Filed under: Klebsiella pneumoniae subsp. pneumoniae KPNIH9
Lineage: Bacteria; Pseudomonadati; Pseudomonadota; Gammaproteobacteria; Enterobacterales; Enterobacteriaceae
Description: partial 23S ribosomal RNA
Rfam family: Bacterial large subunit ribosomal RNA
Source: RNAcentral